GGAGGGUGCAAGCAUUGAUCGGAAUUACUGGGCGUAAAGGGCGCGCAGGCGGUCAGGAAAGUCAGAUGUGAAAUUCCGGGGCUCAACUCCGGAGCGGCAUUUGAAACUUCCCGACUCGAGUACAGUUAGGGAAAACGAAAUUCCACGUGUAGCGGUGAAAUGCGUAGAUAUGUGGAAGAACACCGGUGGUGAAGACGGUUUUCUGGGCUGUAACUGACGCUGAGGCGCGAAAGCUAGGGGAGCAAACAGGAUUAGAUACCCUGGUAGUCCUAGCCGUAAACGAUGCAUACUAGGAGUAGGAAGGCUCAACCCUUUCUGUUUCGGAGCUAACGCAUUAAGUAUGCCGCCUGAGGAGUACGCUCGCAAGGGUG
This 371-nucleotide ribosomal RNA is filed under the name uncultured bacterium. Its description in RNAcentral is "bacterial SSU rRNA". It matches the Rfam family "Bacterial small subunit ribosomal RNA", at positions 527 to 896 of the family's 1533-position model. The record is from RNAcentral.